RNAcentral lists this ribosomal RNA (274 nucleotides) under uncultured bacterium. RNAcentral describes it as "partial 16S ribosomal RNA". It matches the Rfam family "Bacterial small subunit ribosomal RNA", at positions 523 to 796 of the family's 1533-position model. The record is from RNAcentral.
AUACGGAGGGUGCAAGCGUUACUCGGAAUCACUGGGCGUAAAGCGCGCGCAGGCGGCUUGGUAAGUUGGAUGUGAAAGCCUACGGCUCAACCGUAGAACUGCAUCCAAAACUGUCAAGCUAGAGUGUGGGAGAGGAAGAUGGAAUUAGUUGUGUAGGGGUAAAAUCCGUAGAGAUAACUAGGAAUACCAAAAGCGAAGGCAAUCUUCUGGAACACUACUGACGCUGAGGCGCGAAAGCGUGGGGAGCAAACAGGAUUAGAAACCCCUGUAGUCC